This 247-nucleotide ribosomal RNA is filed under the name Shigella flexneri. RNAcentral's name for it is "partial 16S ribosomal RNA". It matches the Rfam family "Bacterial small subunit ribosomal RNA", at positions 26 to 269 of the family's 1533-position model. Lineage: Bacteria; Pseudomonadati; Pseudomonadota; Gammaproteobacteria; Enterobacterales; Enterobacteriaceae. The record is from RNAcentral.
AGAUUGAACGCUGGCGGCAGGCCUAACACAUGCAAGUCGAACGGUAACAGGAAGCAGCUUGCUGUUUCGCUGACGAGUGGCGGACGGGUGAGUAAUGUCUGGGAAACUGCCUGAUGGAGGGGGAUAACUACUGGAAACGGUAGCUAAUACCGCAUAACGUCGCAAGACCAAAGAGGGGGACCUUCGGGCCUCUUGCCAUCGGAUGUGCCCAGAUGGGAUUAGCUAGUAGGUGGGGUAACGGCUCACC